RNAcentral lists this ribosomal RNA (492 nucleotides) under uncultured bacterium. RNAcentral describes it as "partial 16S ribosomal RNA". It matches the Rfam family "Bacterial small subunit ribosomal RNA", at positions 29 to 507 of the family's 1533-position model. The record is from RNAcentral.
AGUGAACGCUGGCGGUAGGCCUAACACAUGCAAGUCGAACGGCAGCACAGUAAGAGCUUGCUCUUACGGGUGGCGAGUGGCGGACGGGUGAGGAAUACAUCGGAAUCUACUUUUUCGUGGGGGAUAACGUAGGGAAACUUACGCUAAUACCGCAUACGACCUACGGGUGAAAGCAGGGGAUCUUCGGACCUUGCGCGAUUGAUUGAGCCGAUGUCGGAUUAGCUAGUUGGCGGGGUAAAGGCCCACCAAGGCGACGAUCCGUAGCUGGUCUGAGAGGAUGAUCAGCCACACUGGAACUGAGACACGGUCCAGACUCCUACGGGAGGCAGCAGUGGGGAAUAUUGGACAAUGGGCGCAAGCCUGAUCCAGCCAUACCGCGUGGGUGAAGAAGGCCUUCGGGUUGUAAAGCCCUUUUGUUGGGAAAGAAAAGCAGCAGGUUAAUACCCCGCUGUUCUGACGGUGCCCAAAGAAUAAGCACCGGCUAACUUCGUG